AACUUAAAAGGAAUUGACGGGGACCCGCACAAGCAGCGGAGCGUGUGGUUUAAUUCGUUGCUACACGAAGAACCUUACCUGGGUUUGACAUAUAGGUUGUAGGGAACUGAAAAGGGACCGACCCUUCGGGGAGCCUAUACAGGUGUUGCAUGGCUGUCGUCAGCUCGUGUCGUGAGAUGUUCGGUUAAGUCCGCUAACGAGCGCAACCCUCGUCGUAUGUUAUAUGUGUCAUACGAGACUGCCGGUAAAAAGCCGGAGGAAGGUGAGGAUGAUGUCAAGUCAGCAUGACCUUUAUAUCCAGGGCUACACACACGCUACAAUGGUCUGUACAAUGGGUAGCCAAGCCGCGAGGCGGAGCCAAUCCUGAAAGCAGGCCUCAGUUCAGAUUGCAGUCUGCAACUCGACUGCAUGAAGCCGGAGUUGCUAGUAACCGCAGGUCAGCAAUACUGCGGUGAAUACGUUCCCGGGUCUU
RNAcentral lists this ribosomal RNA (472 nucleotides) under uncultured Anaerolineaceae bacterium. Its description in RNAcentral is "bacterial SSU rRNA". It matches the Rfam family "Bacterial small subunit ribosomal RNA", at positions 897 to 1382 of the family's 1533-position model. The record is from RNAcentral. Lineage: Bacteria; Bacillati; Chloroflexota; Anaerolineae; Anaerolineales; Anaerolineaceae.